Molecule: ribosomal RNA, 255 nt
Filed under: uncultured bacterium
Lineage: Bacteria
Description: partial 16S ribosomal RNA
Rfam family: Bacterial small subunit ribosomal RNA
Source: RNAcentral
UACGGGGGGGAGCAAGCGUUGUUCGGAUUUACUGGGCGUAAAGGGCGCGUAGGCGGUCGUGACAAGUCACUUGUGAAAUCUCCGGGCUUAACUCGGAACGGUCAAGUGAUACUGUCGGACUAGAGUACAGAAGGGGCAACUGGAAUUCUCGGUGUAGCGGUGAAAUGCGUAGAUAUCGAGAGGAACACCUGCGGCGAAGGCGGGUUGCUGGGCUGAUACUGACGCUGAGGGACGAAAGCUAGGGGAGCGAAAGGG